Molecule: ribosomal RNA, 669 nt
Filed under: Triticum aestivum (bread wheat)
Lineage: Eukaryota; Viridiplantae; Streptophyta; Magnoliopsida; Poales; Poaceae
Description: partial small subunit ribosomal RNA
Source: RNAcentral
AUGGCAGCUAGCUGGUGCUACUGCCUACUAGUAGAGCAUACGCACACACGACACACCCUCCUGCCUGCCAUUACAAACCACCCACCAUUUUCGUACACCACGCGAGAUCAGGGCACCCGGCCCAGGCCAGCCUCCCCCAGCUCCACCACGGGACCAAGAAGCUCGAGGGCAGCCAUGGCCGGCGCCUCCGCCAGCAGCACCCGCAAGGGCGGCAUCAAGGCCUACUGGAAGCACCGCGGGUACGACCGCCUGGACGCGGCCGCCGCGCAGCGCCGCCCGGCCCUCGCCACGGCCGAGCUCGGCGCCGGGGGCGGGGCGGCGACCGCGACCGCGGGCCGUCGGCGCGGGUGGCGCGUGCGGCGCCGCGGCCUCGGGCGGCGCCUUCUGCGCGCGCUCUCGCCGCGGCGGCUGCUCUCGCGGCUCCGGGACGCGUACGUGAGCGCCAUGCUCCGGCUCGCGUCCUCCGCCGCCGUGGGCUACGGGAGCGCUCCCUUCUGCGCCGCCCCCGAGCCCUUCGCGCGGCCGCGGCCGCUCAAGGAGUACGAGGAGAAGGUGCUGGUGGAGAUGUACCGCUCCAUCCUGGCCCGCGGCGGCGUCAUCCCUCUCUCCGGCGACGCCUCCCUGGUGGUCAGCCCCGCCCCGCUGCCGGCCACGGCCACCGUGGCCUGA